CAGGUGAUUGCUGAAAAACCUUAAACAGAGUAAGCA
RNAcentral lists this non-coding RNA (36 nucleotides) under unclassified sequences. RNAcentral describes it as "DUF805b RNA". It matches the Rfam family "DUF805b RNA". Rfam says of the family: Bacteroidetes, Chlorobi (1 example), Proteobacteria. Lineage (Flavobacteria) The record is from RNAcentral.